This 253-nucleotide ribosomal RNA is filed under the name uncultured bacterium. Its description in RNAcentral is "partial 16S ribosomal RNA". It matches the Rfam family "Bacterial small subunit ribosomal RNA", at positions 524 to 776 of the family's 1533-position model. The record is from RNAcentral.
UACGUAGGGGGCUAGCGUUGUCCGGAAUCAUUGGGCGUAAAGAGCGCGUAGGCGGUCCGGUAAGUCCGCUGUGAAAGUCGGGGGCUCAACCCUCGAAUGCCGGUGGAUACUGUCGGGCUCGAGUCCGGAAGAGGCGAGUGGAAUUCCUGGUGUAGCGGUGAAAUGCGCAGAUAUCAGGAGGAACACCGAUGGCGAAGGCAGCUCGCUGGGACGUGACUGACGCUGAGACGCGAAAGCGUGGGGAGCGAACAGG